UAAGGAAUAUUGGUCAAUGGGCGCAAGCCUGAACCAGCCAUGCCGCGUGCAGGAAGACGGCCCUAUGGGUUGUAAACUGCUUUUGUACGGGAAAAAACCUCCGGUCGUGAACCGGAGCUGAUGGUACCGUAAGAAUAAGCAUCGGCUAACUCCGUGCCAGCAGCCGCGGUAAUACGGAGGAUGCAAGCGUUAUCCGGAUUCAUUGGGUUUAAAGGGUGCGCAGGCGGAACGAUAAGUCAGUGGUGAAAUCCUGCAGCUUAACUGCAGAACUGCCAUUGAUACUGCCGUUCUUGAGUAUAGUUGAAGUGGGCGGAAUGUGUCAUGUAGCGGUGAAAUGCUUAGAUAUGACACAGAACACCGAUCGCGAAGGCAGCUCGCUAAACUAUAACUGACGCUCAUGCACGAAAGCGUGGGGAUCAAACAGG
This 425-nucleotide ribosomal RNA is filed under the name uncultured bacterium. RNAcentral describes it as "bacterial SSU rRNA". It matches the Rfam family "Bacterial small subunit ribosomal RNA", at positions 355 to 776 of the family's 1533-position model. The record is from RNAcentral.